This 70-nucleotide transfer RNA is filed under the name Acanthopagrus latus (yellowfin seabream). RNAcentral's name for it is "tRNA-Ile". It matches the Rfam family "tRNA". From Rfam's summary of the family: Transfer RNA (tRNA) molecules are approximately 80 nucleotides in length. Lineage: Eukaryota; Metazoa; Chordata; Actinopteri; Spariformes; Sparidae. The record is from RNAcentral.
GGAGCUGUGCCUGAAGUAAAGGGCCACUUUGAUAGAGUGAGCUAUGGAGGUUAAACUCCUCCCAACUCCU